This 393-nucleotide ribosomal RNA is filed under the name uncultured bacterium. RNAcentral describes it as "partial 16S ribosomal RNA". It matches the Rfam family "Bacterial small subunit ribosomal RNA", at positions 523 to 918 of the family's 1533-position model. The record is from RNAcentral.
AUACGGAGGAUCCGAGCGUUAUCCGGAUUUAUUGGGUUUAAAGGGUGCGUAGGUGGUUUGAUAAGUCAGCGGUGAAAGUUUGCAGCUUAACUGUAAAAAUGCCGUUGAAACUGUCGGACUUGAGUGUAAAUGAGGUAGGCGGAAUGCGUGGUGUAGCGGUGAAAUGCAUAGAUAUCACGCAGAACUCCGAUUGCGAAGGCAGCUUACUAAGCUACAACUGACACUGAAGCACGAAAGCGUGGGGAUCAAACAGGAUUAGAUACCCUGGUAUUCCACGCCGUAAACGAUGAUGACUAACCGUCGGCGAUAGACAGCCGGUGGCCAAGCGAAAGCGAUAAGUCAUCCACCUGGGGAGUACGUCGGCAACGAUGAAACUCAAAGGAAUUGGCGGGG